GGGGGUAUAGCUCAACGGCAGAGCAUCGGACUUUGACUCCGGUGAUCUAGGUUCGAUUCCUAGUGCCCCUGCCA
Molecule: transfer RNA, 74 nt
Filed under: Caudoviricetes sp.
Lineage: Duplodnaviria; Heunggongvirae; Uroviricota; Caudoviricetes
Description: tRNA-Gln
Rfam family: tRNA
About the family: Transfer RNA (tRNA) molecules are approximately 80 nucleotides in length. Their secondary structure includes four short double-helical elements and three loops (D, anti-codon, and T loops).
Source: RNAcentral